GACGAACGCUGGCGGCAUGCUUAACACAUGCAAGUCGAACGGAAAGUCCCUGCUUUUGUGGGGUGCUCGAGUGGCGAACGGGUGAGUAACACGUGAGUAACCUGCCCUUGACUUUGGGGUAACUUCAGGAAACUGGGGCUAAUACCGGAUAGGAGCUCCUGCUGCAUGGUGGGGGUUGGAAAGUUUCGGCGGUUGGGGAUGGACUCGCGGCUUAUCAGCUUGUUAGUGGGGGAGUGGCUUACCAAGGCUUUGACGGGUAGCCGGCCUGAGAGGGUGACCGGACACAUUGGGACUGAGAUACGGCCCAGACUCCUACGGGAGGCAGCAGUGGGGAAUAUUGCACAAUGGGCGGAAGCCUGAUGCAGCACCGCCGCGUGCGGGAUGACGGCCUUCGGGGUGUAAACCGCUUUCGCCUGUGACGAAGCGUGAGUGACGGUAAUGGGUAAAGAAGCACCGGCUAACUACGUG
RNAcentral lists this ribosomal RNA (468 nucleotides) under uncultured bacterium. RNAcentral's name for it is "partial 16S ribosomal RNA". It matches the Rfam family "Bacterial small subunit ribosomal RNA", at positions 28 to 507 of the family's 1533-position model. The record is from RNAcentral.